GUCACCCCUGGUUGGCAACGUCCGUGUUUAUCUGCAUUCCCCAUCUCCUCCACAGUAGUUGUUAGUCUAAGUAGUUGUUGUGCAGAAAGGAUCUCGAAGGAAUAUCGUGUGACCAUAGAUACUAUAUACCCCUGGAUACGAAACUCCUCUAUGCACACAUAUAAAAUCCCAUAAGGAAACGUCAUAAACGUCACAUCCGGCUGUCCUCACCCUUGUUUCGCUGCAUUCAUGGCUGCCAGGGUGACAAGAGAUGGGAAAAUCAUGCAUUGGUAGGCUGCAUAUACUAAAAGAAAAGGAAAGUUUCAGCAAUUAUAAUGCAUGAUAAAUGUCAAGUUUUAUUGUAUUAUUGUACAUAAAAUCACACUUUUAUUAGCAAUAAUAAUACUUUUUAUCAUUGUUUUAUUUUUAUUCUGAAUGAAAACGUAAUAUGACGUA
Molecule: long non-coding RNA, 435 nt
Organism: Amphimedon queenslandica
Lineage: Eukaryota; Metazoa; Porifera; Demospongiae; Haplosclerida; Niphatidae
Exons: 2
Source: RefSeq, a predicted model, not a curated record